This 2290-nucleotide long non-coding RNA is filed under the name Panthera leo (lion). Its description in RNAcentral is "lncRNA (ENSPLOG00000011745.1)". The record is from RNAcentral. Lineage: Eukaryota; Metazoa; Chordata; Mammalia; Carnivora; Felidae.
UCCCAGCGGCCGCCCGCCUAUAACUAAGCUCUGCCUGAAGUCCUGGCGCUUCCGCCCUGCGGGGAAUUCCCCAACACUCCCCCUGACUUAUCCAAUCAGAGUGAGGUAAAGAGUACGCGCCCCGCCCCCUUACCACACCAUGACCAAUCAGAGUAUUCAGAUGGACCGCGACUCUCUACCCAUUCCCACAUUUUCCGGGCGCCCUUUACCAACAUGGCUGCCGGCGCGGAGCCCUCUGGGACUCGUAGUCCUCCUGUCCGCAAGUCUUUCUAACCUAAGAGCCGCUCCCCGGACGUUGUGUGAAAGCCUGUAUGCAUCCGCGAUGGUUGCUGGGAGUUGUAGUUCUCUGCCAGGUCUCUGCCCCUCCUGUUUCCGGUGCCGUCACGGGACAGAGCAGUCGGUGACAGCACCGAGGGCCCCCGCCCCGCGCCCAUGGCCGAGCCGGACCCCUCUGACCCUCUGGAGACCCAGGCAGGGAAGGUGCAGGAGGCUCAGGUGAGAUUUGGGGAAGGGUGGAGGGAAGGAGAGAGAUGCACUUGUUCCCGCACCCCACACUGGGGGGGGGGGGAGGUGGCAGAGGGGAGACAGUCACCCCAGGGCCCUCAGCUCACUGCCCCAGUCCCUUGCCCCAACUCCCGGUUCAGCCUCCUGGGGAAUGGUGGAUUCUGGGAAUUGUCAGAGAGGGGUGUGCCCCCUUAACUCCAGGCCUGCCCUCCCAAACUUUUCUCUUUCCUUGCCCCCUACCCCUGUCCUUUCUGAACUUCAUUUAUGCUGGGCAUGGAAGAGACAGAUACCCAGUUUGAUCACAGAACUCACAGAUCUCAUGGACAAGUGACUAGAAAAUGACCCUACAGGGUGAUUCUGAAAGUAGCUCAAGGAAGAGUAAACUUCGUGGGGCCACAGGGAUUCCAGCCAGUCCCUUCCCAGGAGGAAUCCACAGGCUGGGCUAGGAGUCAGACUGAGAUACAGACACAUCACAGUGAGCGAAGAGUGACUUAGAAUUUUCUUAGGCAGAGUGAGAAAUGGCACUCCACGCAGAGGAUACAGCUUGUGCAAAGACUGGGGGACACGAAGUGUAUAAUGUGGUCAGCAGUCAGGUGGCUGGGAGUGGUUAGCUUGUUAUAUUCGAGGUUAGCAUUUAUUGAGUCCUUAUUCCAGCCAGGUACUCUGCUCAGGGCUCUGUGUACAUCAUCUCAUGUCGUCUUCCCAGAAUCCCUGGGGGGAGCAAGGCCUAUUGUGGCCAUUUUACAGAUGAGGAGUCCGAGGCAGAGCUGUUAAGCGACUUGUCCUCUGUCCCCCAGCUAGAAGAGCAGGGACUGCUUUGCAACCUACAGCAUCCGGCACGUUGCCUUCCGGACACCUCAGGGAGAGGUAGACAGGACACCUCACAGAGGCUUGAAGGCCCCACCAGCACCUCCGGCUCCCGCUUAGGCCAAGUGGCUCCCACACGCGGGGCAGGGCCCUCGAGUCCUUCCACAGAGCCUCACUGUCCGCUGCUGAAAGAAUGCCAGGCCACCCACAGACGCGAGAUCACUGUUCAGAUGUAGGGCAGCGCCGAAGCUGGAAUGCUUAAAGCCCCUGACAGAUGUGGGGCAGGGCCACGCUGAGGGGGUAAAAGCCUCCUGCCAGGCCAGGGCUUCUCCCUCGCCUGGCUCCUAGGGCUCAACCACUGUCACAGCAAAAGUUUUAAUGUUCAACAGGGAUCCUCAGUCCCAGAAAGAGAGAUCCGAGGAUGUAAAUUGCAGCAUUGUCUGUGACAGGCCAAAAACUGGAAACAGCCCAAAUGCCUGUCAGCAGACGGGUUAAAUGAAGUAUAGUGCGUCCUUACAAUGCAACACUAUGUAGCUUUUUUAAAAGAGGAGCUGGAUCUAUAAUAUAUUGUUCUGCGGAAACCGCGAGGUGCAGCAUCGUACUAUGGUAGGACCCAUUUCUGGAAAAAUAGUGAGUUUUAUAGGCAGAGAAAAAAAUCUAGAGCGAUUGCCAUUCUGCUGUUAAUAGUGGUUAUAUUGACCCGGGGUGGGUGAGGGAACUCGAGGCAAGCGCCUCAAGUCGUACAUUGUCUAAUGGCCAGAGUUUUUGCAAAGCUUAUGUAAUCUUAGAAAGCGAUAAUAAUAAAAAAAAAAAUGUAAAUACGUUUGGAAGGGCAGUUCCUAUUCAAAAAGGCUUGGAACCAGAGCAGAGAAUGAUGGGGGAGGGGCUGGUCGGAGGGGUUUUAAGCAGGAGAAUGGGUUGGUCAGAACUGUGGUUUUUGCGAGGUCCAUUGCAGGACCCAGCCCUGCGCACAGCAGGU